UACGAAGGGGGCUAGCGUUGUUCGGAUUUACUGGGCGUAAAGGGCGCGUAGGCGGCGACUCUAGUCAGAUGUGAAAGUCCUGGGCUUAACCUGGGGACUGCAUUUGAUACUGGGUUGCUUGAAUUCGGGAGAGGAUAGCGGAAUUCCCAGUGUAGAGGUGAAAUUCGUAGAUAUUGGGAAGAACACCGGUGGCGAAGGCGGCUAUCUGGACCGACAUUGACGCUGAGGCGCGAAAGCGUGGGGAGCAAACAGG
This 253-nucleotide ribosomal RNA is filed under the name uncultured bacterium. RNAcentral's name for it is "partial 16S ribosomal RNA". It matches the Rfam family "Bacterial small subunit ribosomal RNA", at positions 524 to 776 of the family's 1533-position model. The record is from RNAcentral.